This is a long non-coding RNA of Calidris pygmaea (Spoon-billed sandpiper), 752 nucleotides long. NCBI's taxonomy places the organism in Eukaryota, Metazoa, Chordata, Aves, Charadriiformes, Scolopacidae. The record is from Ensembl.
AUGGGAGCCAGCUGCCGGGGAAGCGAGGGGGGGGGGAGGGAGGGAAGGUGGCGGCCGGCGGGGCAGCGGAAGGAGGAAAAGAGGAAAAACAAACAAACCCAAAGACAACUUUGCCCGGCGGAGCGGGCGGGCGGCAAACUUUCCCACGGCGGGGGCGGCGGGGACGGGACACACACACACACACACACACACACACACACACACCGGGCUCCCGCUCUCCUCAGGGCAGGCGCGGGCCGGGCUCGGCGGCGCCGCUGCUGCCGCCCCGCUCCCGCCGGACUCGCUCCGCGUCCCCCUCAGCCGGGCUCGCCUGCGCCAGCCCGCGCCGAGCCCGCGAUCAUCGGCCGGACUCGCCCCCCUGGGCCGAGCUCGCUGGGGAGGCGGCUCUUCCACUCCCCGCUCCCCGAGUCGCUGGCUUCCCCACACGCCCCUUCUCCGCCUUCAACCGCCGCCGGCUGCUCUCCGCGCCUCCGCCGUCAUCCUGCCCCCUCCCGCUCACCACCGGCGGCCGCUACGAAGUGUCCCCGCCCGCUGAAGCCCCGGAGCCGACGGGAGGGGGAUGAUGAAGAGACACCUGUCCCAGAGCCAUAAAAGUGUGUGGAAAGGCUCCAGAGAGAAAUACUCCAUCACUGUGGAAAACCAGCAUGACUUCAGUGGUGGAAGAUGAGCAGUGUGCAAGUGCAUCAACACAAGGCAUGAAGAGAGCAGCAAAAGGUUUCAUGCAUGGAUCUGUCUGACAAUUUGAUAAAUCA